Molecule: ribosomal RNA, 231 nt
Filed under: bacterium
Lineage: Bacteria
Description: partial 16S ribosomal RNA
Rfam family: Bacterial small subunit ribosomal RNA
Source: RNAcentral
UAUUGGGCGUAAAGCGCGCGCAGGUGGUUUCUUAAGUCUGAUGUGAAAGCCCACGGCUCAACCGUGGAGGGUCAUUGGAAACUGGGAGACUUGAGUGCAGAAGAGGAAAGUGGAAUUCCAUGUGUAGCGGUGAAAUGCGUAGAGAUAUGGAGGAACACCAGUGGCGAAGGCGACUUUCUGGUCUGUAACUGACACUGAGGCGCGAAAGCGUGGGGAGCAAACAGGAUUAGA